RNAcentral lists this unclassified non-coding RNA (266 nucleotides) under plant metagenome. Its description in RNAcentral is "partial contains small subunit ribosomal RNA and internal transcribed spacer 1". The stretch from base 1 to 46 matches the Rfam family "Eukaryotic small subunit ribosomal RNA", at positions 1786 to 1831 of the family's 1831-position model. The record is from RNAcentral.
AAGUCGUAACAAGGUUUCCGUAGGUGAACCUGCGGAAGGAUCAUUAAUGAAUAAACUUGGUUGAGUUGUUGCUGGCUCUUCAAGAGCAUGUGCACGCUUAAUCCAUCUUUAACCACCUGUGCACCUUCUGUAGAUCUGUGAACUAAAGGAAUAUUGCUGAGCGAAAGUUCAGCUUUCCUUAUGUGAUCAGGUCUAUGUCUUUAUAUACCCCAUAUGAAUGUAUUCGAAUGUCAUAAUUGGCCUAGCGCCAUUAAAAUUAAAUACAA